AAAAUUUUCAACAUUAAACUAGAAUUGGAAAAAAUAACAUAACAAAGAAGCAAUACUCUGUUCAAAUUUUAAACUAAAUGGCACUACUAAGGUCAACAUGGACUUGUUGUUUUGUAAUGACCUUGGUGCCAAAAGCAAGGAUAAACCAAAAGGGAUGGUGACUCACAAAGUGGUGUGAAAUUCUACCCAAAAUUGUUGCCAUCCAUCCCUUAAUACUACGACUGAAAAUGUAAAUAAAAACGAAAUGUAAAACAGCUAAAUCCUACCAUUCACCAUGGCCUUACUUUAUUCUGAAUCAUUAUCCUCCUCUUCUUCAUCUUUGUCGUUCUCCUCCUCCUCCUCAAAUUCCUCUAUACCUAUCGGUGGAUCAUAUGGUAUGCCAAAAUAUUUCUCCACUGCUCGAACACAAUAAUCCAACUUUUGGUUGAUAUCUGAUUGGUGGCACAAAAGUUUUUAAUGUAGCUCUCUAUCUUGGCCUUCUAGGACUUCUUUUUAUUGGGUGGUGGUGCUGUGGAAGUUUAUGGAAUAUCAACUUG
RNAcentral lists this long non-coding RNA (536 nucleotides) under Actinidia chinensis (golden kiwifruit). Its description in RNAcentral is "long non-coding RNA (ACHI_LNC001484)". Lineage: Eukaryota; Viridiplantae; Streptophyta; Magnoliopsida; Ericales; Actinidiaceae. The record is from RNAcentral.